Molecule: ribosomal RNA, 253 nt
Filed under: uncultured bacterium
Lineage: Bacteria
Description: partial 16S ribosomal RNA
Rfam family: Bacterial small subunit ribosomal RNA
Source: RNAcentral
GACAGAGGGUGCAAACGUUGUUCGGAAUCACUGGGCUUAAAGGGCGCGUAGGCGGGCUGCCGCGUCCGGGGUGAAAUCCUCCCGCUCAACGGGAGAACGGCCUCGGAUACGGGCGGCCUCGAGGGGGGUAGGGGCAUCUGGAACUGUGAGUGGAGCGGUGAAAUGCGUUGAUAUUCACAGGAACUCCGGUGGCGAAGGCGAGGUGCUGGACCCCAUCUGACGCUGAGGCGCGAAAGCCAGGGGAGCGAACGGG